Molecule: non-coding RNA, 6830 nt
Organism: Pseudonaja textilis
Lineage: Eukaryota; Metazoa; Chordata; Lepidosauria; Squamata; Elapidae
Source: RefSeq, a predicted model, not a curated record
CUUCUUCCUCCUCUUCCUCGCCCGGAGCGGCGUCUUCUCUCCGGAGCCCGCCGGCCCGGGGCGUCCAGUCUCCCGGACCGCUUCAGGUGCCCGACAGCCUCGGGAGAUCCGGUCUCCGGUUUGGACGCCUUCCAAGGACAUGAUGACGACUGUAGAUCUCUCUCGCUCUCGCUCUCUUCAUAUAUAUAUAUAUAUCUAUAAUUUCCUAAUAUUUUUUUUCCCACGGUUUUGUUUUUAUUUUGCUUUGCCUUUUGGGUACCAAAAAGGAUCGGAGCGGCCGUAGCUUCAAGAAUGGAUCAACUCAUUUUUUUUCUCCUUCCAACUCAUGGUGUCAUCCUGAACAAAGCAUUGUCGACUCAUACUGAGGAAAAAGAUUUUGCCCAGGAAAUAGCUACAUUGUGGUUUCUUAGGCAACUACCUACAAAAUCAUUUUCAAAAGACAGAAGGCUGUUAUAGAAGGCAACACAUUGUACAGAAUUACUUCGUUGUUCUUCACAUUUGUUUUGCUUCCAGUCAAAAACAUAUUCAUUUUUGGCACUUAAAACUCCCUUUAAAACUUUGGGAUUGGUUGAUCAUUGGCUGAAAAGUUUACCGGAAUCUCAGUGAAAUCAUCCAAACUGAGUGAUCCUGCAGAAACAAGAAUACCUCCUAAAUCACCUUAAUUCCUCCCCAAACUUCAUUGGUGUGCAAUCCUGAGGCAAAAAUGACCUAUAAUUUAAAACUAUUCCAACUGGGCAUUUCUUUAACCUGGCUUGUUGAUUUUCUCCCAUAACAGUGCCAUCAGUAGGACAUUCAUUCUAGAAUUCUGUCACUUUUGCAAUUCAGAAGACCAUGCUAAAACAUUUGGCUACAACUUGGGUCUACUGUUUCCUUUCUGCAAAUGGUCGCAUAUAUUAUUUAUGUACUAAAUCUUUUCAGUCAGCUCAUCAGUUAUUUAUUUUUUCUCAAUCUUUUCUAAACUGAAUGGAUGGGUUCUAAGACUUAAAAAGGCAUUGUUAUGGUUCAGAAGUGCAUGUCACUGUGUAAUACAGCUUACCCUGGAGUUGAUGCAUCCAGCUGUGUUGUUGCCUUUAUAUAAAACAAGAUAUGGCAGUCUGGUGGAAUAAGUAUCCUGUUUGUAGUUUGAAGGAGAGAUGUCGCCAUUUGGAGUAUGAAGAAGCAGAACUUUUAACUCGGAAGAUAGCUGCCAGUUUUGGUCAUCUUGUAAACAAACUCACACUGAUUCAAGAGUCUUCCAGUAGCAGAUGAAAGAAAGCUGCAGCGUUCCUGACUGCACAUGGAUUAGGAUGCUUGGGAUGAUUUUAGCCACUACCUUGUUGAGGACUAUAUGAGAUUUCGGUAGUUUGGUCCCAGUGGUGUAGCUCUUCUCAGGAGGAUGUCUUGAACCAAAAGAUGAUGAUUACAAAGAUGAGGUGGCAAGAGAAGAAAUGAAAAAGAAAACAAUAUUUCAAGAUAAGAGAUGGAGGGAAAGGCAGCAUCUAAAGGAUUUAUCCUCCCCUCCCUCACAUAACAACUAGUGCUGUAGCCUGCACUAUUAUUAGACGGAUGUCACAUUUAGAUCCUUUAAAGCUUAAAGCCUUUUAGCCUUGGUCAAGAAUGAACCUUUUGAUUACAGAAUGCAGAGCAGAAAAUCUUCCGUAUUACUAUUCAGCCACUGAUGACAUCCCCUGACCCUAAAACUCAGACUUACAUCCUGGAGGGAGUUGGUGCCAGUUCCGUGCUGUUGCAAAGGGAGCCAUGUGGAGAAGUCAUCAGGAGUUGAGCAUCACCCAAAAGAGCUUUACCCUUUUUUAUACUAGUGGGUCGUGUGGACUUGCCCUUGAGGCUCCUCUCAACGUACGCUCUGGUUUCAAGUUGAUCUGUUUAUCAUUCGCUGGGGAAAUACCUUCAUCUUCAAGUCUGGGCCAGUUGGCCUCUACAACAAGAGCAGGAAACUUGUGUUUACAAGUGGGAAGAAGACCUCAUUUACAUUUUUGGAGGGUCAUCUGGAGGAGAAACUUGAGAGAAAGAAGCAUCAGCAAACCCCAUGGUGCCUCCUGGACUGGGUUGAGCUCCUGUUCUUUGCCUCAACGCCUGCCCACCUAGCGGUUCGAAUGCAUGCAAAUGCAAGUAGAUAAAUAGGUACCACUUUGGUGGAAGACAACAGCGUUCUGUGCACCUUUGGCCUAUAGGCCAUGCUUGGCCACAGGACCACUGAAAUUGUCUUCAGACAGUGCUGGCUCAUUGGCCCUUGAAACAGAGCUUCCUUCAUCCUGAGAGCGGUUAAAUAUUUCCCACAGCAAGCUCCGAACUAUAUUUUGGCUUUUUCAAGAGGAUGACGCGGGGAGGGGGAAAAAAAAGGCUUUCUCUUCAGGAGUCUUUGCCGUCCCAGCUUCAUCGAAACGAAAAGGAAAUAGAGCCCCCAUGCCUGAGUAUCUGCCUUCGACAUGUCCAGCUACAAGGAAGUCUUGCCUGGAGCUCCUUCAGGAAUCUGGUUUCAUAUGGUGGUUUAGAUUUAAGUACACAAUGUCUAGCACCAUUUGAAAUCAGUGUUUUUGGGGGAAGAAUGGCUGCACGUUGACCGGUCUUGGGAGUCCAUAGGCUUCCGAUAAAAGCUUCCGCGACCAGCUCAUUUACGUUGGAUUUAUUGCCUCUUCCCGUACAGCCUCGGCAGCGAAACUGACUUAAUUAUUAAGCCAGGUUGGACAAUUGAAAUGAACCCCUUACAGAAAUAUACCUGCCUUCUUAGGCAAGUCAGGAAGAUACUAGGCCUUGGAAGUUCGUGUGUUUACGCAUACUGUGAGAAUGUCAUCGACAGAUUGAUCGCAAAUAGGAGAGAGUCAGAGCUGAUUGCAAGAAGGUCUUAAUAAGCUGACUCAGCAGAAAACCUCUCUUCCCAGAACGGUUUCUGGGCCACAUUGUCACCAUUUAAAACAAAUUUGAAGUCAAAUAUUUAGGGCUUGACGUUCCAGAGGAUUCUUCCCCAAUCCCCAGGGUGUGUUGGUGCAGCUGGCUGGAGGUUUGUUGGAUUUGUAUUCCCAUGUAUCUUUUGGGAAGACCCCAAAUUGGAGAAAGAUGGCAACCCGAGGCCUAACGGUAUAUAAUGCCAACAGCUGAAAUCCCGAACGAGAGCAGGGUUUGUUCUGUUGGUAUAAUUCAUAUCCCAUUUCUUAGUUGGGGUUUAUAAAUAUGGAAGUGAGGGUGGUUCUAACCCAAAAGACUUCAGAGGUUCUCGGUAGCCACGCGUUGCAAAUUCAUGGACUCGCAGAUUCCAGUGACCCCUUUAAAGGAUAACUGAUUUCUUCUGGUGUUCGGAGUCUAUUCUUCUUUCUAGCACCAUUUGAAAUCGGUUAUAGUGAUUGGGGAAUGUCGACCCGGGAGACCUGGUGUUGGUGGCAAGACCUUGACGUGAAAGCUGAAAUGCUUCCCACCGGCCGGCCUUUGGGAUUACGAGGGGAAAGUCGCAACUUCGUGGUUCUCCUCUUCGAAGGGACACAAGGAACAGCAGUCAUGUGGCUGUGAAACCAGUCACAGUGAAGGCUGCACUUUGCAGCAGUGGGAGAUCGUCUGUCUCUUGAGUGUGUGCAGCACGCAGGGAGAAAACAAGCCAUGACUCAUGUCAGGAACAAGUCCCAUCGCCCAAAGCAAUGACAAUAGAAUAACAGAGCUGGGAGGUACCUUGGAGGUCUUCUAGUCCAACCCCCUGGCCAGGCAGGAGAGCCUAUAUCGUUUCAUGGAUUUCUUGGAUGCUGCUGAGGAGGGAAGAAAAGGACACACUGGAAUAAUAUCUCCAGCUAAAUUCCUCUGCUUUCACGCAAGUGUCAUUCAGCAAAACAGGAACCACACUCUGCAAUGUGUGUGACUGGCCACGGGUACAGCAGGGGCCAAUUUACGUUACUCACUUCACUGAGGUGUCCCUUACCGAAGUCAUGCAGCAGAAAAGGUUCAGCUGCACACUCUUAGGUGUCAUUACUUUAUGGACAUUGGUAAGGCUGCUGAGGGUGUUGACGGAAGACGGAGCAAGCAGCGUAUUGCGGAAUGAGGCAACCCAGCCUUUUCUAAUUGGUUGCUUUUCAGACUCAAUCAUCCAGGCCCAAAGUAUCUAAAAGGGAGGGAGGGAGAGACAGAGAAAGGGGGGGAAAAGAGAGAGAGAGAGACACACACACAAGAGACAGAGAGGGAGGGAAGGUAGCACGAUGCCCACCUUAGACCACGUUACAUGGAUCUGAAGCCCCCUUGUGAAAAAGCUGCUGCAAAUCCUGGCUUGGUCCAGUUACACUGCGGAGUAGGCAGUGAACAAGGCUCCCGCAGGUCCUCAACAGGAAUCAUUGUGUGGCAGGAAAGUGGGGUGGCCUUUUCCUUGGGUGCAAAAAAAGGCGGGGUUGGCCUCAUUGCCUUCCAGCCUCUCCAACCAGAACAGGAUUGGAAGAUGGUUCUCGAUUGGGGCCCCUUGAUCCUUUCAGAUGCAUUCAGGAUUCAGAGCUUUUCUUUGAAGAUAGGAUGCGAUAUCCAAGACUUAUUUCCUGCCUGCAUAUAUAUAAAUAUAUAAACUUUAGGUAGUAAUUACAGCCUCUAGGCACAAGAGGGAGCCAGAGUUUAUAGGAGAGCGAUUGUGAACACUCUGCCUGUUUUAAGAUUGACUUGGUUGUGUGCUUGUGACACCACAGCUUGCUGAAAAUACCAUACUUUCCUGGUUUAUAUGUGAAAACUCCUACUUUGUAACUCCGCACAAUAUAUUUAUCACUACUGAGCCGACCCGUUUUCUGAAUCCAAAUAGCACAUUGAACAAAGUGGCAGUUCCCGCAACAUAUUAAGCUAGAGAUAAUCAUCAUCAUCUAAGAUUAAUUAAACUUGGUACAUAAAUCCUGGCCUGCAAAUCACAAUGACUGAACCAUCACAUUGGCUGAGUGCUGUAUAAACUAGGUCACGUCUUACAGCCAAGGUGGGUUUUUUUUUUCCAAAAGGCAAUUGGACUUUCUUCUUCUUGCUUUUUUCUUUGAAAACAUUUUGCUUCUCGUCCAAGAAGCUUCUUCAAUUCAUGACAACCAUGACCUGGAUGAUUUGAGAGUGGGAAAAUUUUUGCAUCUGGGCAAAGGUUCCUUUAAACAUCAUACUGAUUUUAAUCCAAUUUAACUGAAUUGGCUUUCUAAUUGUAAUUCAACAAAACUGAGCAGGAAUGGGGCAUUUCUGGAUAGUUCUAAGGGCAAGAGCCUGUAGUGUUACUCCACUUUUAAAAUAUUUGUUUGCUAUAAUACACACUUAAGUUGAAAAACGUUACAGGGGCAUUGCGAAGUUACAUCAUUGUGCCUGUGUCAACAGGUUAGCAUCCUUGUGAUUUUGCUGGAGGCACAAACGGUUUCCAGCGUGUCCUUAGUUUGAAUUGCACACUGUUAUUGCAGAGAGGCAAAUACGGUGAAUAUUUGUUUAUGACAUCUGGAAUUCGAUUGAUUAUUAAAUGUGUACAUGGCCCAAUUCCCAGCAACUCUGGGCAGUUCACAAGUAACACACACACACACACACACACCAAUGCAAUAAUAAAAAGAACAAAAGACGGUAACACCCAAAAGCAGACGCACUAUCCAAGCGAACCCAAUCUGUGGCAUCUGAUUAAGAAGGCAGAUAAGAGGGAAGAUGAUGCAGAGCAGAUCAAAUCACAAAUGCAGUCAGCUCUCUUGAGACUUUUAAGAACUGGGCAAGUUUUGAAACUAUAAAAGCAACAAAUCACAUCCACCAUUCAAAACUUAACACAUCAGGGUAUUCAAGGAAAAGACAAGCAGCCCAAGUCAGAGACAAAGGCCUGAGUGUUAAAGGAAGUUUUAGCCUCUUCCUACUCUCACAAAAUCAGAUCUUGGGCCAUCUUCAGAAGCUCAACGCAAGAAGCUUCAAGACAAUGCAGUUAAUAUUGUGUAGCCUGCCAUGGAAGGGUUGGUGGGUCAUCCGUGAAAAUGGCUUUAGCGGGUGCCCGGAUGUUUUCACUGGAAAUCUGGGAAGGGGGGCAGUGGGAUGGAUGGAGUCACCUCAGUCACCAUUCUUUCAAACUUUGUAUUCCUCAUUUGAAAUGUUUUCAGAGAAAAAUCCAAGAAAUUCAAGUUACCUUUUUGGGGGGAGGGAGUUUUUUUGGAGCAACAUGUGUUGCGCUCCUUGGCUGCUUGAUCCCUCCUCCUGGACCAGACCAGCUCCAACCCAUUCCAUUUUCUUCAAGCCUCAAUCUACACACACACACACACACACACUUUGUUCAGAGAUUACUCCUGAAUCUUUUGCAACCCUCAAAUUGUCCGGCUAAGAGGAAUCUCAGCUGAGCAAAGUGCAAAACACAAAAAUAUACAGAAAACAAGAAAGAAAAGAAUAUAGUGAAGAGAGGAAAGAAAUAAAGAAGAUAGAGACUGUUUAGGAUGUAUGAUAGCACAAGAAGAGAAAAGGAUCAAUCACUGCCAAAGAAAUGUACAAGCAAAAUAGCAGUAAAAGUACAUUGUAGUGAUGACUUGUAGUGGUGAAUAUAGAGACAGUGAAUGAGGAUACAGGAGGAAACGUCAAGGAUGUGGAUACAAAUCAGACAUCAGAACUUCUGUCAAGAAAAGCUGUCAAUCAGUGGCUCCUAUAUAGGGUGGUUUCUUCAAGCAGAAGCUGGCUAUCUAGUAAGGAUAACCAAAUAUGAAGAGAUUAAGUCUCAUUCUAGGAUCCUUUGAAUUUAAAGAACACAUUUUUAAAUCGAUCUUAGCAAUUGGGCAAGUAAUGUAAGCUAUAACAUUUCUGCACAACCAGCAGAUUCAAUUCAGCGCACUGCUAAGGGAAUAUAUCACAAAGAAAAUCAAAAUAUUACUUGGGAGUCUUGCCAAAAUGUUCUAGUC